Pipistrellus kuhlii (Kuhl's pipistrelle) is the source of this 1491-nucleotide long non-coding RNA. RefSeq lists it as uncharacterized. The record is from RefSeq and is a predicted model, not a curated record. The transcript has 2 exons. Lineage: Eukaryota; Metazoa; Chordata; Mammalia; Chiroptera; Vespertilionidae.
AUUAACAAUAACAAACCCCCCCACACACACACACACAAAAAUAAAAAGUGGUAUUUCCUUUUGUACCUGGGGUGGGGUGGAGGAAUCUGCCUCAAAGCUCACAGAGAAUUCUUUCCCGUAUUUAAAUCUUAGAUCAAAUAACAUUAUUCAAAGACCCCCUCAGUAACAAAGGCAAGCCUCAGAAACUUGUGAAGAAGCAAAGUAUAAUAAUAACCACGUGCGUCGCAUUUCCAAUGAGAUGUUAUCAUCUUUGAUCGUUACCGCUGUGUGAGCUGAGGUAACUAUGGGCAAAGCUCAAAUCUUUUGUAUUGCCCCAUUGCUCAGGUUAGGAAACCCAAGAGCUGUUCCAAGUUGCUAGUAAGUAGCAGAGCCAGGUUUUCUCUUGUUUUGUUUUUUUAAAAUAUGUUCUUAUUUAUUUCUGAGAGAGGAAGGGAGAGGAAGAGACAGAAACAUCAACGAUGAGAGCAAAUCACCGAUAGGCUGCUUCCUACCCGUCCUCGCUCUGUGCCCCCCACCUGCCCCCUCCCCACUGGGGAUUGAGCCCACAACCUGAGCAUGUACCCUGACUGGGAAUUGAACUGUGACCUCCUGGUAUGGUAGAUGCUUAACCAUUGAGCCACACUGUCCAGGCCAGAGCCAGUCUUUUAUUUAUUUGUUUGUUUGUUUUUACUGCUUUUGACUAUUCCCUACUAUUUAGAACUGUGAUUACUCUAUGAUUACUUUAUUCCUACUCCCACUUAGGGAGAAGAAUCAAGGAGUCCCAAAAGAUUGCUUUGGUUUGUAGUUGUGGGAAGAGAGCCAGGAGAUUCUGGCCAGGAUUUCUGGACACAUCCCAUGUUGGAGGCAUGGAAAGCCACAAAGAAAACCAGCCAAGGUCUGUGCGCUAUGCAAGUCAGGUGUGCCGACCCUCUGGAGCACGCUUCCAGCCCUUUGACAAACGGAAUGGCAGCAAGGUAAGGAGCUCGGGCUUGAGGUCGAUAAGAGUGAAGCUUAUUUCCUGGCAGCUGUGGGGUCUUGGGCAUAAGCCUCAGUCUGCUGCCAAUGGCAAUACCAAACUGUAGGGUCGUCAUGAUGCUUAAAUAAGAUGAUAUACAUAAAAGACCAGCGCCAGUGUUCAACACACUCUGUUAUCAAUACAUGUAAGUUAUUUUUUCUAAUCAAAUAACAGGCACUAAAAUGGUACAUGAGAGGACUAAAUGAGGAAUGUAAUAAAUAAAUGCAAUGAGCUAAGAACAAUGUCUGGCACAGAGCAAUUGCUAUUUGCUAUUAAUUAUUGUUGUUAAUAUUUUUCUGUAUAAUAAUUUCUUAUGACUGCAGGGAGGUCACGGUAAACAAUCUACUUUUCAGGGGACAGGAGGUUCUGAUACUUAUUUCUCAUGAGAGCUGACAUUUUAGGUACCAUCUUAUAGUGUGACAAAGGAUAACAAUACCUUCUCAAUUGUUUUAUUUUCCCUCUGUCUCCCUCAUUUCUCCUAAUUUUACCUGAGACAG